RNAcentral lists this transfer RNA (72 nucleotides) under Bos taurus (domestic cattle). It matches the Rfam family "tRNA". From Rfam's summary of the family: Transfer RNA (tRNA) molecules are approximately 80 nucleotides in length. Their secondary structure includes four short double-helical elements and three loops (D, anti-codon, and T loops). The record is from Rfam by way of RNAcentral. RNAcentral also lists the same sequence under 1 other name. Lineage: Eukaryota; Metazoa; Chordata; Mammalia; Artiodactyla; Bovidae.
UCCCUGGUGGCUCAGACGGUAAAGCAUCUGUCUACAAUGCAGGAGACUUGGGUUCGAUCCCUGGGUCGGGAA